Molecule: ribosomal RNA, 253 nt
Filed under: uncultured bacterium
Lineage: Bacteria
Description: partial 16S ribosomal RNA
Rfam family: Bacterial small subunit ribosomal RNA
Source: RNAcentral
UACGGGGGGGGCAAGCGUUGUUCGGGUUUACUGGGCGUAAAGGGCUCGUAGGUGGCCGAUUAAGUCAGGCGUGAAAUCCCCAGGCUCAACUUGGGAACUGCGUCUGAUACUGGUUGGCUUGAAUUCGGGAGAGGGAUGCAGAAUUCCAGGUGUAGCGGUGAAAUGCGUAGAUAUCGGAAGGAACAUCAGUGGCGAAAGCGACUUCCUGGACCAAUACUGACGCUCAUGUGCGAAAGCGUGGGGAGCAAACAGG